AAGUCGUAACAAGGUUUCCGUAGGUGAACCUGCGGAAGGAUCAUUUGCAGUGAGUGGGAGUGGGGAUAGUGUUGUGGGUGGGGUGGCAGUGUUGAGACGCUGCUGCUCUGUUGCCUGCACGUGUGCGUAAGUGUGUGACUGAACAGAUUUGAAAGGAGAUAACUUUUAACAAUGGAUCUCUGGGCUCUU
This 189-nucleotide unclassified non-coding RNA is filed under the name Phylloporus sp. Its description in RNAcentral is "partial contains small subunit ribosomal RNA, internal transcribed spacer 1, and 5.8S ribosomal RNA". The stretch from base 1 to 46 matches the Rfam family "Eukaryotic small subunit ribosomal RNA", at positions 1786 to 1831 of the family's 1831-position model. Lineage: Eukaryota; Fungi; Basidiomycota; Agaricomycetes; Boletales; Boletaceae. The record is from RNAcentral.